This 63-nucleotide microRNA precursor is filed under the name Acyrthosiphon pisum (pea aphid). Its description in RNAcentral is "microRNA api-mir-3015b precursor". It matches the Rfam family "mir-3015 microRNA precursor family". The record is from miRBase by way of RNAcentral. Lineage: Eukaryota; Metazoa; Arthropoda; Insecta; Hemiptera; Aphididae.
GCCGUUCUUACAAUGUUCAGUUUAGUGUCAGUUAACUUUAACCGGACAUUGUGAGAACGGCUC